AAGAAGGGAUUGCUGUUUCAGAACGUUGCAGUAGAAAUUUUGGUUAUCUGCUGAAGCAAGUUUGUGAUCUGGGCCAUGUUCAUGCAAACAAUGCAUUUUGUACAAAAACAAGAAUCUCCUAAAUCAGUUUUUGUUUGACAUAAAUGUGCCUUCUUCAUAUUAAUACAUUCCAGAGGACUCAGCUUAAGACUUGCAUUUGAAUGCGCCUUAUGGUUAAUGCUAUUUAUUUUGUAACCUUUGAGUAUUCUUUUGCUGUGGUAAUUACAGCCGUGCUUUUGAUACAAAGUUCAUUGGUAUCUCCCUUGCAUACUCCCUAUCAACCAACUAUCACAUGCCCAUUUAGUAAACAAAAGAGGGGCUGAACAGUAUCCAUGCAUCCAAACAGCUCCUAAAUGUGAUUCCAAAUGACAGAAACUUAUGUCAACAGGAGAGAUAAAGAGGCUCACCGGACGAAAAGGACGCAGGAGACAUGAAGUUCAGUGUGAGCGGUUAGCGAGACUAUUUAUGAGUAGUCAUUGUUCUUGAAUGAACUGCUGUAGACCGGCAAUUCCAUUAGCGAAAAAUCAGCUUGAAGCCAAACCAUCUUAACUAAAGUGUAAGUUAAAGUGUUUCAUUUUGGAGUUAUAAGGCGCCAGGUUUGAAAUUUUAGGGCAUCGGAGGCUACUAUUAAUUGUAUCAAAAAAAAAGAAAUGUCAUCUGUGAUGUCAGAAUUGGUUAAAUCUUUUCGCCAGAAAAAAAAUGUCUUAAAUGUUUUUAUUUCUUA
Molecule: long non-coding RNA, 763 nt
Organism: Ananas comosus (pineapple)
Lineage: Eukaryota; Viridiplantae; Streptophyta; Magnoliopsida; Poales; Bromeliaceae
Exons: 2
Source: RefSeq, a predicted model, not a curated record